AAAGUAGCCCAGAUAAUUUCUACUUUAAGUUUUUUAUUUCAGAAUUGGACUUUCCAUGCAAAUACAAACUAAACAUCAUCUUCUUUUACCCCAUGAGCAUGAGAUUGGUUUUUUUCUUUUUUGGAUUUCUUUCUGUUUUGAGUGAGGGAUUCACAUAUUCCAGGUUGACCUCAAAAAGGAUGCUCUUCUGUUCCUCGUGACGCUACCUCCCCCAGGAAUGACAGGUAUGUGCUACCACUUCUCUUGUAUUUUUAUUAUAAAGCCACAUUACAAUUGCUAUGAGAGCUAAAGUAGCGCACAUUAAUUAAAGGUCACCAUUUCAUAGCUUUGCAGAUGAAUAACUGCUGCGGAGAAAAGCCUGAGAAAACAGGAUGAAGAUUCUAUGUGUGUUGAUUUGGCAACACAGAAUAACGUUGUACAGGUCUCUUCAUUUGUUGCUAGAAAGAAUAAAUACACAUUCCUGUUUCACAGCAGCAUGCUAAUGCAAGUGAGAAGCAUAGUGUGGCAACUAGAGACAACAUUUGAAUUCAAAAACAUGUUAGGG
This 544-nucleotide long non-coding RNA is filed under the name Rattus norvegicus (Norway rat). RNAcentral's name for it is "long non-coding RNA NONRATT031470". The record is from RNAcentral. Lineage: Eukaryota; Metazoa; Chordata; Mammalia; Rodentia; Muridae.